This is a ribosomal RNA of 1301 nucleotides. The stretch from base 559 to 1301 matches the Rfam family "Archaeal large subunit ribosomal RNA", at positions 1423 to 2807 of the family's 2987-position model.
AAGGAUAGAUAAUUGGUUAAUAAAGGAGAGUGUUAUAUUAAUUAGAGUAAUGAGAAUAAUAUAUUGAUAGUAGGUCGCCUGAAAUUAUUAUUAUAGGUUAUAGGUUAAAAGUACUGUAGGGGAACUUUGUAUUUUAACAGAAAGAAAUAUUUGUACCUUUUGUAUCAGGGGCUUCCUAUUUAUUUAUAAAAGUUUAUUUAUUUUCGAAGGGAAAAGAGCUAAUGCUUAGAGUUAGUUACCGUGGUAGAGGUAUUAGAAAUUAAGGAUUAGGGGUGAGAUGCUAAUCGUCUUUCUAUAUCUAAUUUUUUCUGAAAUAAAUUUAAUUUAACGUCAAUUAUCAAUUAGAUUGAUUGAGAUUCUAAGGGGCAUGAGCUCAUUAGUUAGGUUAAUUUAAGGUUAGAUAAAUAAUAGUUUCACUGGAAUAAGCUUAAAAUUAGCUAUUUUUAAAGGGCGUUAUAGUUAAUGUGGUAUUAUAUAUAUAUAUUUAUGUGUUUGGAUGAAGGUAGGAAAAAGUAUGUUUUAAUAUAAAAGAUAUAGUUAGAAUGGUUGUAUUAGUAGAGCUUUAUUGUGUUUUAUGAAAUUAAAAUUUACUUAGAAUUAUAAUAUUGUUUUGUUGAAGUAAAUUAACUCGGCAAAUUAAACUUCCGGCUGUUUAUCAAAAACAUUUUUGUUAGUUUAUAUAAACAAUCUAGCCUGCCCACUGGCGGUAAGCUAAAGGGCCGCGGUAUUCUGACCGUGCGAAGGUAGCAUAAUCAAUAGUCUCUUAAUUGGAGGCUGGAAUGAAUGGCUGCACGAGAAGGAAGCUGUCUCUUCUUUAAAAAUUGAAUUUUACUUUUAAGUGAAAAGGCUUAAAUAAUUUGAAGGGACGAUAAGACCCUAUAAAACUUUACAAUUUAUUUUUGCUCCAUGAAUUUUUGUUUAAAUUGAGUGAGGGGUGUUAUUGUUAGGUUGGGGCGACUAUUAUAUAAUUUUUAUUAACUGUAAUUAAAAGAAAUAAGUUUAUUUAGAUAUUUGAUCCUUUAAUAAAGAUUAGAAGAUUAAGUUACUUUAGGGAUAACAGCGUAAUUUUUUCUGAGAGUUCUUAUCGAUGAAAUUAGUUGCGACCUCGAUGUUGAAUUAAAGUGUCUUUUAAGUGUAGCAGCUUAGUUAGUUGGUCUGUUCGACCAUUAAAACUUUACAUGAUUUGAGUUCAAACCGGUGUGAGCCAGGUUGGUUUCUAUCUUUCAGUUAAAAAAGCUCUUUUUAGUACGAAAGGAUUAAAAGAGCCAGAGUUUCUGUUUAAAGUUUGAUGAAUAAUAAUU